UUUAAACUCAGAUCCAAUGAAACUCCUAUAGUUUUAUUUAACUCCAGAGCAUUCUGUGUGCUGUAACAAUGGGGCAGAGUCUCACUGCUGAUUAUGGCACAGGCAUCUGGGAUAUUACAUAGAGAUCCAACCACUGUAACACCAAGGCCUUACAGUCAAAAGAGAGAACUAUGUAAGGGAGAGUCUGUUCUAACAGAGGUCGUGUAAGGGAAAUGCAGCAGGCCCAGGGAAUCUGUUGUGUCCAGGGAAUCUUAAGCCCAUACAAGGACAGCCUGGCUGUUCCAUUUUCUAUGAAGCUGGGAAUAGUACUGAGUUCCUCAGAUCAUUCUUCUCCUUACUCUUUCCUAUAAUUUCAGGAUCAUGCAAGAGUCAAGGGAUUUCACAGAUUUCAGACUUUCCUGCCCCCAUAUCUAUAUUUAUAUUUGUAUGUCUGUAUAUCUAUAUCUACAUCUAAAUCCAUAUAUCUGUGAUCUAUCUGGCUAUCUCCCUAUCAUCUAUCAUUAUCUCUCAGUCAUCUAUCUAUCAUCUACCUAUCUAUAUUAUAUAUGUAGAGAGACAGAGAUACAUACUCUCCAGGUUCUCUAGAGAGCCCUGACUAUUACAGGUAGUUACUAAAUAUGAGGGACAGGAAGCAUAUUUGCAAGGGCAGAGGAGCAUCUUAUUUCCCAAGUGUAGUGUGCAGUUCCGUGGAGCUCUAAGUGAGCGAAUGUUUCAAACACCCCUAAUGCACUGUGUUCAAUGGUUCCCAAAGAGACAUCAUCUGUACGUCUGGCCUGCACUGCCGCAACAAGGCCUGAGGCUUUGCAUCAGAAAGGGCCUCCAAACCAGGAGGGCUGCGAGAGGAAAAGAGAAAUGCCUUUUCUUGGGAUUGGUGGGAAUAAACUAGCUUAGAAUCUGGAUUUAAAUAAAAAGGCCACGUGGCUGCAUUCUCUGCAAGGUUUGAAUUUGGUCCAAACUGAGAAGUGGAUGUGCCUCCCGGAGCAGGUUGAUCUUGAAAAGGAGAAAUAACUGGGGUUAAGCUGAGUCUCUCAGGAGGCCAAGAGUACUUCCUUUCUGGGUGCUGCUUGUGUUGGGUUGGCCAGGGUUCAAGUGGCAUCUCAUUCCCCCAUCUCUCCAACAAGUGGGCCAGCAUCCACGGUCCUUCCUGCUUCUCUGCUCAUCAUGGGGAUGAUCGACUCAGUUCAGAGCUUUGGCCAAGAACUGUCUCAGUAGGUGACAAGGGCAGCCUGCGCAGUGGCUCAGGAAAUGGGAAGAGGCUUCAUUCCCUGCAUUUGGAGGGAUGGGCUCAGCCUGAAUUCUGUUUAAAAUACUACUGAGAAAGAUCACUGGAGUGGAGUUGGACAGAUGCUUAUAAUAACUGGAAGUUCUCUCUCACACUACACAAAAUCAGCAACUGUCUGUGCAGGAGACUGGCUGUCUUCCAUUUGCUAGAAAAGAAGCCAGAGAAAAUAGUCCUAAAAACCAGUAUAGAGGGUUUGGAUUAGCCAAUUGGGGUCUUUUCUGAUGUGGGUAGACAGGGAAAGGCUUUUUCAGGAAGAGGGAGCAACUCCUGUUUGGUGCCUCUGGAGUUUGUCUCACAGGAUCUUAAAAAAAGUCUUGUCAGAAAGGACCAAGAAUGACGCCCCCACGCAGUGCAUGGCAGGCACAUCCUGGACCUACACAAGGUGAUUUAUGCGUGGUCACUUUUCUGCAUCUGACAACAACCCUGAGAGAUGAUGCAGGUGAGAACCUCAGAGAUGACUGCACAAGGUUGCAUAAUCAUACACACAGGAAGAUUGAUAAAGCCCAGUAAAGUCAGUCUGCGCUGGGAGAGCAGGAACAGUAUUGAUCAGCUGCCACUUCUUCUUACUUCUUGAUAAUAGUUAAUCUGUGACCCCACUUUGCAGAGCACUGAUGGGGCUGUAAAGCCAUUAGUCCAAAGGAUGAGAUCAGGUGGAAGUGGGGAGGAGAUGCUUCAGGCUUUCCCAAAUCUCACCAGGUCCCAGAGCUUUGGAAUGGUGAAUCAGGCACAGUGCCCUCUGGCCAAAAUAGUAGCCCUGAGGAUGGGGGCUCCCUGCAGAGUAAUCAGCUCUUUCAAGUGUGGGCUUUGGCUCUCCAGCCCGAUGGUGAGCUCCUUAAGCACAGGAAUGUUUCUAGAGAAACACAGUGGAAGGGGACCUUUACAAAGAUCAGGACAUUUCUUCAGUUACAAGUUUGCAUAUGGAAAUGCUAAAAAGUGAGUUCACCUGUGAAUGUUGCAGCCCCAACCGCCUUCAGGGAGUGUUUGUGGGUAAUUUUGAACAAGAGUCCUGGGAAUCCCAGUUCAUGUCUAAGGCUUUUCCACUUUCUAAUGUUAAUUUUAUACCCAUAUCUCUCUUCCCCUAGGUUUUUAGACUCUUGUCUGGUACUCAAAAAGACAUGCUAAUUAAAUGGCAGGGAGACCAAGAUUUAAAGUCAGCUGCUGCCAAUGGGAAGGUGCCAGGUCUCGUCUUUUAUAGACAGAAUCCUUCUCAGGUUCAUUCCCUGGGAUUCUCUGUGCAUCGCUGACAGUCCGGACCCUGUAUGGCAACCUGCAUAUGUCACUUCCUGCAGCCAGCGGCCCUUGAUUGCCACAGGUCCGUCUUCCCCUUCCUAAGGAGCUGGACACUCCCUGUCCACCUCUCCUGACGCUGCUGCAGCCCCCGCGCCUACCUGGAGACCACUGCUCACCUGGAUGUCCACUUCUCAUGGGUCACAGGGUCAGGCAGGGACUGAGCUCUAGGGAGUGGGAGAGUCCUUUUAGCCCAGGUGUGGGAAUUAAGAGAGGAUUCUGUACAUAAGGGCUGAGGGAGGAGGUGAUGGCAGCUCUCCAGACAAACAGAAACCACACCCAGGGGGAGGAAAGACCAGGGAGGGGACUCUCCAUUCCAGCUCUGUGAACACCAGAGACAGCGCUUGCUGUGAGCCUUUGCAGCUUUCCUUGCUUCAAAUGCUCUGAUUUUUCUCAUUGCUGAGCACAUUGAACAGGAAACGAUAACAAACUCAGAGAAGAUGCACAUUCAUUGAAGCACGGAGGGAGAUUGUAAGCCAGAGGCAUUGCAUUUUGGUAGUCAAAGUCAGAAGCCACAGGCAGUGGUGGCAGAGAGGGAAUAAGACAGAUGAGCUUCCAGAGGGAUCUCAGGAGAGAAGAGUCUGAUGGUCUAGGAUCUAGAAGCAUCCAUAGAGCUUUGUGGUAGAGUUCUGCUGGCUGCGACGGUUGCCUCCCACCACCCCAGGCCCGGCAGGGAGACUCAGGGAGCAGUAUGGGCCGGCAGAGUGCUUAGUGCAGGAGCUAGGCGACCCAGGCUUCUGCUUACUCACCUACAAAAUGCUGUUGUGUUAUCUUCACAAUUCAUUCAAACACCCUGUUUAACAAAAACAGUGUACUCCACUGAAUUUUUUUUUUUUUAAAUCCUGCCCUUUUCGGAAAAGCACUAAUUGUUCUGUGUCCAUGGUAACAGGUAACUGCCAGUCUGGUUUAGUCCCACAUAAUAGAUUGAGGGCAGCUUCCCUACUCCCUGGCCCACCAGAAGCAGAGCCAUUUCAGAUGCCAGUAGAGGAAGUUGCUCCCAUGCAAAGCAAGCCACUUGUUCUCUACUUGCUGCCAUCCAGGGCUGAGCCAUGAAAUAACUUCCUUCUGGAGCUCGUCAUGAUACUUAAGUCCCUUUGGGUUUCUGGGAGAGCUGCAUUGUGCAGUCUGAGCAGCUGGACCCAGGAGCAGCUGAUGAGAAAAGCAAGCAGAGCAGGGCUUUGGAAACACACCUGGUGAUGGGGAAAUGCCAACUCAGAUGCCAGCACCUCGUCUGAGUCCAGCACAACAAGCAGCCUGUAAGGCUUCCCAAAGUUCAUUGUGGCCUGAAGGACCCGGGCAGUUCUGAUGCAACCAUUGGCUCCUCCAGGAUCCUCCUGGAGAAUCACAGAGCACUUGGUGGCACUCAGCAGGUCUUGGGCUUAACCAAGCCCAAAUGCCUGCCUCAGCUGCACUCCCUGUGCAUCUGCAAGGCUGCCCUGGCCCUGCCUGUCUUCAGGAGCAGACAGAAAGGUUGGGACCUUAAGCAGGGUCCACAGGCUUUCAGACAUUUGCCCUGGUGGCCUGUGAGGAGCUGGGGUGGACAUGACCCUGGCUCUGUGGCAUUGUCCGGUCUUGCAGCCUAGAAAGGGCCUGAUAUGUGAGGCCAUCCCUGCCCUCAGCUGAAGGCCCUGCUUAGGACCUGGGGCCACCUGGCCUGACAGAGUGACCACAGAGCACUUUUUUUGGUGACCAAUUCUUAGAAAAUAGGGCGAGCACCCGGAAAGAUGCUCCGUAACCUUAGCCUUUUACAUGCACUUCAGAAGAAUGAUCAACUGUGUGCUCUCACCCCUGCCACCCUGCCACACAGCACCCUGGGGUCAGCAAUGGGGAGAUCACGGCUGCAGGCAGUGGAGGGUGUGCCAGGGAAGGCACUCGGCUGGGCCUUGGGAGUGGGGCAGGACACAGAGCAGGGCUCCCCUUUGCUCACAGGCCUGGAGGGGGCCACGGGUCAGGGGUGUGUCUGUAGAAUGCCCAUAGAAUCUGUCAUCUAAGUUGGAAAUUUUUGUGAACGACAGGGAUGCUAUUAACAAUUAUAUCAGAACUGUCUAGGAAAGAUUGCACUUUAUGGUUACCUAAGAAUAUGAAAUGGAUUUGCAUUGCUCUGAUGGCCAGUGAUGAUGAGCAUUUUCACACCAGUUAGAAUGGCAAUCAUUAAAAAGUCAGGAAACCACAGGUGCUGGACAGGAUGUGGAGAAAUAGGAACACUUUUACACUGUUGGUGGGACUGUAAACUAGUUCAACCAUUGUGGAAGUCAGUGUGGCGAUUCCUCAGGGAUCUGGAACUAGAAAUUCCAUUUGACCCAGCCAUCCCAUUACUGGGUAUAUACCCAAAGGACUAUAAAUCAUGCUGCUAUAAAGACACAUGCACACGUAUGUUUAUUGCGGCAUUAUUCACAAUAGCAAAGACUUGGAACCAACCCAAAUGUCCAACAAUGAUAGACUGGAUUAAGAAAAUGCGGCACAUAUACACCAUGGAAUACUAUGCAGCCAUAAAAAAUGAUGAGUUCAUGUCCUUUGUAGGGACAUGGAUGAAAUUGGAAACCAUCAUUCUCAGUAAACUAUCGCAAGAACAAAAAACCAAACACCACAUAUUCUCACUCAUAGGUGGGAACUGAAUAAUGAGAACACAUGGACACAGGAAGGGGAACAUCACACUCUGGGGACUGUUGAGGGGUGGGGGGAGGGGGGAGGGAUAGCAUUGGGAGAUAUACCUAAUGCUAGAUGACGAGUUAGUGGGUGCAGCGCACCAGCAUGGCACAUGUAUACAUAUAUAACUAACCUGGACAUUGCGCACAUGUACCCUAAAACCUAAUGUAUAAUAAUAAUAAAUAAAUAAAUUUUUUAAAAAAA
Pongo pygmaeus (Bornean orangutan) is the source of this 5419-nucleotide long non-coding RNA. RefSeq lists it as uncharacterized. The transcript has 3 exons. NCBI's taxonomy places the organism in Eukaryota, Metazoa, Chordata, Mammalia, Primates, Hominidae. The record is from RefSeq and is a predicted model, not a curated record.